RNAcentral lists this ribosomal RNA (570 nucleotides) under uncultured Bacillus sp. Its description in RNAcentral is "bacterial SSU rRNA". It matches the Rfam family "Bacterial small subunit ribosomal RNA", at positions 82 to 636 of the family's 1533-position model. Lineage: Bacteria; Bacillati; Bacillota; Bacilli; Caryophanales; Bacillaceae. The record is from RNAcentral.
UCUUAUGAAGUUAGCGGCGGACGGGUGAGUAACACGUGGGUAACCUGCCCAUAAGACUGGGAUAACUCCGGGAAACCGGGGCUAAUACCGGAUAACAUUUUGAACCGCAUGGUUCGAAAUUGAAAGGCGGCUUCGGCUGUCACUUAUGGAUGGACCCGCGUCGCAUUAGCUAGUUGGUGAGGUAACGGCUCACCAAGGCAACGAUGCGUAGCCGACCUGAGAGGGUGAUCGGCCACACUGGGACUGAGACACGGCCCAGACUCCUACGGGAGGCAGCAGUAGGGAAUCUUCCGCAAUGGACGAAAGUCUGACGGAGCAACGCCGCGUGAGUGAUGAAGGCUUUCGGGUCGUAAAACUCUGUUGUUAGGGAAGAACAAGUGCUAGUUGAAUAAGCUGGCACCUUGACGGUACCUAACCAGAAAGCCACGGCUAACUACGUGCCAGCAGCCGCGGUAAUACGUAGGUGGCAAGCGUUAUCCGGAAUUAUUGGGCGUAAAGCGCGCGCAGGUGGUUUCUUAAGUCUGAUGUGAAAGCCCACGGCUCAACCGUGGAGGGGUGGUUGGAAACUGG